GAGGUAGCUUCCGUAGUGACCUGCGGAAGGAUCAUUA
RNAcentral lists this ribosomal RNA (37 nucleotides) under Tuber polymorphosporum. Its description in RNAcentral is "partial 18S ribosomal RNA". Lineage: Eukaryota; Fungi; Ascomycota; Pezizomycetes; Pezizales; Tuberaceae. The record is from RNAcentral.